This 1566-nucleotide ribosomal RNA is filed under the name Marinobacter salsuginis. RNAcentral's name for it is "bacterial SSU rRNA". It matches the Rfam family "Bacterial small subunit ribosomal RNA". Lineage: Bacteria; Pseudomonadati; Pseudomonadota; Gammaproteobacteria; Pseudomonadales; Marinobacteraceae. The record is from RNAcentral.
AAACUGAAGAGUUUGAUCAUGGCUCCAGAUUGAACGCUGGCGGCGGAAACGCUAGCACAUGCCGUGAGCAGCGGUAACAAGGGGUAGCUUGCUACCGCGCCUUGACGGGCGGCGGGUGAGUAAUGCAUAGGAAACUGCCCAGUAGUGGGGGAUAGCCCGGGGAAACCCGGAUUAAUACCGCGUACGCCCUUCGGGGGAAAGCAGGGGAUCUUCGGACCUUGCGCUAUUGGAUGUGCCUAUGUCGGAUUAGCUAGUUGGUGGGGUAAAGGCCUACCAAGGCGACGAUCCGUAGCUGGUCUGAGAGGAUGAUCAGCCACAUCGGGACUGAGACACGGCCCGAACUCCUACGGGAGGCAGCAGUGGGGAAUAUUGGACAAUGGGGGCAACCCUGAUCCAGCCAUGCCGCGUGUGUGAAGAAGGCUUUCGGGUUGUAAAGCACUUUCAGUGAGGAGGAAAAGUUGGUCGUUAAUACCGGCCAGCCUUGACGUUACUCACAGAAGAAGCACCGGCUAACUCCGUGCCAGCAGCCGCGGUAAUACGGAGGGUGCAAGCGUUAAUCGGAAUUACUGGGCGUAAAGCGCGCGUAGGUGGUUUGAUAAGCGAGAUGUGAAAGCCCCGGCUUCGAACCCGGGAAAACGGCAUUGAACCGCCGCCGGCCAGAGGCAUGGUAGAGGAGUGGAAUUUCGUAGCGGUGAAAUGCGUGCAGAUGGAGAAGGCAAGGAAACACUCAGUGGCGAAGGCGGCACUUCAACUGGGCACAUCGACACUGGAGGAAAGCGUGGGGGAGCAAAACAUGAUUAGAUACCUGGUAGCCCGCGUCCAAACAUACCUGUCUACUAGCCGUUGGGACUUUAAGCCCGAGAGGGUGCAAGCUAACGUACCCGCAGAUCCGCCUGGGGAGUAUUAACGGCAGUUAAAACUCAAAUGAGAUUGACGGGGCCCGUACAAAGCGGUGGAGUAUGUGUGUCGUUUACCUCAGACGCUAACCGCGCAGGUUGCUCACCCGGCCUUGAGAUGCAAGAGAACUUUCCAGAGAUGGAUUGGUGCCUUCGGGAACUCUGACGCGGGAUACGUAAGCGCGUAUGACCGUGGUAAGCUCUGUGUCGGUGAGAUGCUGGGUUAGAAGUCCCGUGGCUGAGCGCAACCCCUAUCCCUAGUUGCUAGCAGUUCGGCUGAGAACUCUAGGGAGACUGCCGGUGACAAACCGGGGAGAUGAGGGAUGACGUCAGGUCAUCAUGGCCCUUACGGCCGGGGCUACACGAUGCUACAAUGGCGCGCGCAGAGGCUGCAGACACCCACGAGGGGGCCAAUCUCUGCUAACGCGUCGUGGUCGGAUCCGCGAUGCAACUCGACUGCGUGAGAUCAGAAUCGCUGGUAAUCGUGAAUCAGAAUGUCACGGUGAAUACUGACAUGCACACACCGCCCGUCACACCAUGGGAGUGGAUUGCACCAGAAGUGGUUGAUCUAACAUGGAGGGUUUGAUCGCCACGGUGUGGUUCAUGACUGGGGUGAGAAUCCGUAACAAGGUAGCCGUAGGGAAAUCUGCGGCUGGAUCACCUCCUUAAA